UCCGGUUUAACACCGGCAGUCUGCCUAGAGUCCCCACCUUGCGGCGAUGGUAACUAGACAUAAGGGUUGCGCUCGUUAUCGGACUUAACCGGACAUCUUACGACACGAGCUGACGACAGCCAUGCAGCACCUAUCUCCAGGUCCCCGAAGGGAAACUAUGAUCUCUCAUAGCGUCCUGGGAUGUUAAGGGUAGGUAAGGUUCUGCGCGUUGCUUCGAA
RNAcentral lists this unclassified non-coding RNA (218 nucleotides) under uncultured Oligoflexaceae bacterium. RNAcentral's name for it is "contains 16S-23S intergenic spacer region". The record is from RNAcentral. Lineage: Bacteria; Pseudomonadati; Bdellovibrionota; Oligoflexia; Oligoflexales; Oligoflexaceae.